GGGUGUGUGUGUGUGUAUGUGUUCUCACAUGCAUGUGCAUGCACAUGCUCACAGGUGCACGCCUG
Molecule: microRNA precursor, 65 nt
Filed under: Mus spretus (western wild mouse)
Lineage: Eukaryota; Metazoa; Chordata; Mammalia; Rodentia; Muridae
Description: miRNA (ENSMSPG00010019231.1)
Source: RNAcentral